This 100-nucleotide ribosomal RNA is filed under the name Pteropus alecto (black flying fox). The record is from RNAcentral. Lineage: Eukaryota; Metazoa; Chordata; Mammalia; Chiroptera; Pteropodidae.
GUCUAUGGCCAUGCCACUCUGAACAAGCCCUUCUGAUCUCGGUCGGCCCUGGACAGUACUUGGAUGGGAGACCACCUAGGAAGACCAGGUGCUGUAGGUG